GUGACAAAAUAAAUAGUAUUCAGUGAAAACUGACGGGAAAAAGGCGAAUUAAUGAAAAACUGUAUUCAGCCCACCUGACAGCACCGCGCCUCCUCCACAGAUCUACUUUAAAGCUACUUGUCGCUCUAUCGCUCGCCCGCUCCUCUUCUCUCCCAAACCGUUCAGUUCAGAACAAAGUGCCGCCGUUAGUCGCCCUCAGCCGCGGACCGGAGGGAGGAGUGGAGAAGCUGCGGGUCCCCCGGGAGCGGAGCUGCAGGUCUGAGGUGUGACGAUCCCUGGUUCUUUUUACAGCCACUGUGAAAAAACUAGAGUUGGUAAGUUAACUGUAAAUCAUUUCACUUCAAAGGUUUUCUAAAUGUUUAUAUACAUUUUAUUUUUAAU
This 381-nucleotide long non-coding RNA is filed under the name Astyanax mexicanus (Mexican tetra). Its description in RNAcentral is "lncRNA (ENSAMXG00005012117.1)". The record is from RNAcentral. Lineage: Eukaryota; Metazoa; Chordata; Actinopteri; Characiformes; Acestrorhamphidae.